RNAcentral lists this long non-coding RNA (1205 nucleotides) under Mus spicilegus (steppe mouse). Its description in RNAcentral is "lncRNA (ENSMSIG00000008996.1)". The record is from RNAcentral. Lineage: Eukaryota; Metazoa; Chordata; Mammalia; Rodentia; Muridae.
CCAGAAGCCCUUACCUGUCUGUCAACAUCGUCUCAUCCAUCAACCACCAUCCCCUCUGCGGGGUGUUUCUCAUUCAUUCAUGUAUUCAUUCUUCAGCAAAUGAUUGCUGAGAGCCUACUGUGUGGUGGCUGUUUUGCUGGUGGAUUCUCCCGAGAGUAGACACACUGUCUGUGGUGGAUUUGUAUUGACGGACACUUUGGUAAACUGAGGCUGCACAGGAAGCCAGGUGAGGAAUCCUUUUCGGGAGCUGACGCAUACACUGGUCUGCACUUGAUACAGAUCUACACAAGAGCUGGCGCGAGCAAAACGCCUUGGGGAGGUGAGAGUCUCGGUGAGGUUGGAGGACUGACCCGGAAGCUGUGUGUCAAGAGGGUGAAGGGCAGAGGGUGGCUACACAGGCCUGAGCUGCGGCUCGGUCUUUAACCACAGUGUGAAAUCACUGGUGGAUUAGGAACAGUAGAGAGGCUGAUUUGCAUAUUAAAAAGAUUGCCCAGCUGCUGGGUGAAGACUGCCUUUUAAAGGCGCAAAAAUAGAAAUAGGAAGACCAGCUAGGGAGGGAGCGGUUCAGCAACGCAGACAGGAAAUAAUCACUGUUAUUAUCUGCAGUCCUCCAGAGGAGCUCACAGCAGGUAGGAACGCCGCGUGCUCGUUUGCGGAGUGAAUUUGCGGAGUGAAAGUUCCAUGUCACCAAACAGAACAUGAGCUGUGGUCAGACCUUCCAAGAAAACAGCAGAAACGAGGAACGGCAGCCAAGUUUCCCAUGCAGGCCAGUUCCAGUUGGCAAGAUGCUGAAGUACCCCCCCCCCAUGUAUUGGGGAGAAGGCUCCAUGUGGCAGACAGUGAAGCAGAGGUUUCCUCUGCAGCUGCCCUCUCUCAGGCUGCUGCCUGGGCCCCAAACCCCGCAAGCAAAGCUGGCAGAAGAUGGCUGCCAACAAGCUCCACUGCAAAGAGAGUCGCUGUGAAGGCAUGUUUGGAGGCAGAGAAUAUUAUUCAAGGCAGUAAGAAUAUACAGAAGCUGGAGAGACGGCUCAGCGGUUAAGAGCACUGACUACUAUUCCAGAGAUCCUGAGUUCAAAUCCCAGCAACUACAUGGUGGCUCACAAUCAUCUAUAAUGAGAUCUGAUUCUCUCUUCUGGGAUGUCUGAAGAAAGCUACAGUGUACUUACAUAUAAUAAAUAAAUUAAUUAAAAAAAAAAGAAUAUGCA